Molecule: ribosomal RNA, 497 nt
Filed under: uncultured bacterium
Lineage: Bacteria
Description: partial 16S ribosomal RNA
Rfam family: Bacterial small subunit ribosomal RNA
Source: RNAcentral
GAUGAACGCUGGCGGCGUGCCUAAUACAUACAAGUCGAGCGAACGGACGAGAAGCUUGCUUCUCUGAUGUUAGCGGCGGACGGGUGAGUAACACGUGGAUAACCUACCUAUAAGACUGGGAUAACUUCGGGAAACCGGAGCUAAUACCGGAUAAUAUUUUGGACCGCAUGGUUCAAAAGUGAAGGACGGUCUUGCUGUCACUUAUAGAUGGAUCCGCGCUGCAUUAGCUAGUUGGUAAGGUAACGGCUUACCAAGGCAACGAUGCAUAGCCGACCUGAGAGGGUGAUCGGCCACACUGGAACUGAGACACGGUCCAGACUCCUACGGGAGGCAGCAGUAGGGAAUCUUCCGCAAUGGGCGAAAGCCUGACGGAGCAACGCCGCGUGAGUGAUGAAGGUCUUCGGAUCGUAAAACUCUGUUAUUAGGGAAGAACAUAUGUGUAAGUAACUGUGCACAUCUUGACGGUACCUAAUCAGAAAGCCACGGCUAACUACGUG